GAAUUGACGGGGGCCCGCACAAGCAGUGGAGUAUGUGGUUUAAUUCGAAGCAACGCGAAGAACCUUACCAGGGCUUGACAUGUAAGUGAAUGGUAUAGAGAUAUGCCAGUCCUUCGGGACGCUUACACAGGUGGUGCAUGGUUGUCGUCAGCUCGUGUCGUGAGAUGUUGGGUUAAGUCCCGCAACGAGCGCAACCCUUGUCGUUAGUUGCCGGCAUUAAGUUGGGCACUCUAGCGAGACUGCCGGUGACAAAUCGGAGGAAGGUGGGGACGACGUCAAAUCAUCAUGCCCCUUAUGUCCUGGGCUACACACGUACUACAAUGGCGACUACAGAGGGCAGCGAGACCGCGAGGUUAAGCAAAUCCCGAAAAGUCGUCCCAGUUCGGAUUGCAGGCUGCAACCCGCCUGCAUGAAGUCGGAAUUGCUAGUAAUGGCAGGUCAGCAUACUGCCGUGAAUACGUUCCCGGGCCUUGUACACACCG
This 482-nucleotide ribosomal RNA is filed under the name uncultured Clostridium sp. RNAcentral's name for it is "bacterial SSU rRNA". It matches the Rfam family "Bacterial small subunit ribosomal RNA", at positions 907 to 1392 of the family's 1533-position model. Lineage: Bacteria; Bacillati; Bacillota; Clostridia; Eubacteriales; Clostridiaceae. The record is from RNAcentral.